ACGUAGGGUGCGAGCGUUGUCCGGAAUUACUGGGCGUAAAGGGCUCGUAGGUGGUUUGUCGCGUCGUCUGUGAAAUUCCGGGGCUUAACUCCGGGCGUGCAGGCGAUACGGGCAUAACUUGAGUACUGUAGGGGUAACUGGAAUUCCUGGUGUAGCGGUGAAAUGCGCAGAUAUCAGGAGGAACACCGAUGGCGAAGGCAGGUUACUGGGCAGUUACUGACGCUGAGGAGCGAAAGCAUGGGUAGCGAACAGGAUUAGAUACCCUGGUAGUCAAGGGCG
Molecule: ribosomal RNA, 279 nt
Filed under: uncultured Actinomycetales bacterium
Lineage: Bacteria; Bacillati; Actinomycetota; Actinomycetes; Actinomycetales
Description: partial 16S ribosomal RNA
Rfam family: Bacterial small subunit ribosomal RNA
Source: RNAcentral